This 238-nucleotide unclassified non-coding RNA is filed under the name Ambisporaceae sp. RNAcentral describes it as "partial contains 5.8S ribosomal RNA and internal transcribed spacer 2". The stretch from base 1 to 71 matches the Rfam family "5.8S ribosomal RNA", at positions 84 to 154 of the family's 154-position model. Lineage: Eukaryota; Fungi; Glomeromycota; Glomeromycetes; Archaeosporales; Ambisporaceae. The record is from RNAcentral.
GUGAAUCAUCGAAUUUUUGAACGCAUAUUGCACUCUCUGGUAUUCCGGAGAGUAUGCCUGUUUGAGGGUAAUUAAAAAGAAUCUUUAACCAAUUUUUUUUGGUCAAAGGAAAUGAGUUCUCCGCGUUUAUAUCGGUAGCUUGAAAUAAAUGGUAGUCUCAUUUUAGUCGAGACGCGUACUAAUAUUAUUUCGCGAAUUCAUUGUUAUGUGACUAUUCAGUUUUGAUUCCUUCAAAUUU